Molecule: long non-coding RNA, 2597 nt
Filed under: Mus musculus (house mouse)
Lineage: Eukaryota; Metazoa; Chordata; Mammalia; Rodentia; Muridae
Description: predicted gene 6306 (Gm6306)
Source: RNAcentral
UGUACUUUCUAGCUAGCCUAGGACUCACCAUACAGCCCCCGAACUCAUAAGAAGAGCUGCCCACCUCAGCUCCUGGGGCUUUCAAUCCCAGAAAGCCAUGUGCCACCACUCCCUGCCCAACUUUUCCUUCCAAAACCCAUUUCUCCAUUGUCUUAAAUCCUACUAGCGUUUGGAAGUGCAACAGAUCCAAUGUUCAUUACCUACAGAUUCUAUAAGAAACAAAACAUCUAAUUUUAUCCUCUUCAAACACCAGGGAGCUGUCCAGAGGAAGUCAUUCACUGGAUACAGAGAAGAGGAAAGGCAAGAUGCCUUGAGUCACAAAAGACUGUCCCUGUCCCCCCAAGACCCUGUUCAGGUCCUGUCUCCUCCCAGGGCUCUUCCUUCAACCUUAUGAAUGUUUACAUCUUUCUCCAAAGUCCUGCAAGGCUGAUUGUGAGACAGCUGGCAUCCAUCACUGCCUUUAAUUCCAGUCAAAAUAUGAUUAUUCCAAUAGGGAUAGGAAGCUGAAAACAAUCUAAUCAGAGACGGACAGGCAUGCUUGCAAGGAGCCACAAUGAAACUCAAAUUAGCAUGACGCUGCUAUUCUGAAGAGGAGGAAGCUGAGAAAACUUUCCCAGAAAAGAUGACAUGUGACCUGUCUUUGAAAGGAGUAGAAUUUCACCAAGUUAUAACGUCGGGGUAGGGGUGAAAGGAGGGGGGUUUUCAUUCCUCCAGCAGAAAAGCCAGUGGUGCCUGAAAUGGAAAAGUGGCAGUAAGCAAAGAUGGAAAGAGGAAUUGGGGGUCUGGUGGGGAAAGCGCUAAUUUGUACUCUAAAAAUGAAAUGAAAAGCUUUGUCUAGAUUUUGAACUUCUCAAGAGCCAAGAUCAAUCAUAUUCUCCAUAAAUGCUCUAUUAGUAUACCCCUAAGCCCCCAAGCCCGGCAAACAGAUACUCAUUUGUUGACAGACAUAAAACCCUGUGUCAUCUGUGUGAUGUCACUGUUAGGAGGGGUUGUUCAAGGUGUUUUGGGUAGCACUGAACCUGUGGUUUAAAAGUGACAAUAACUUCAGUAAAAGUGGCCCAUUUUUCUUAAAAUGUCCUAUUCCCCCAUCACUACUGAGGUCUCAUUCUGUGUCUUUACUGUGGCUUCAGUUUUCUACAGUUAAGUGCCUCCUGGUUUCCUGCAUAAGGGUACCCUGCGGCCACAGACUGCCACACCACCACCAUUCCACACUGGCAGCUAUAAUUAAAGAGUAGUAGGAUUAUGGGGGGGGGGGUGCUAUUUAAUUGCUCUCAUUCAUUCACUCAACAAUCAUAAAACCCUAUGGUACCUAACCAGGAAACCGAGGGGGAGGAUCCUGGCACGGGGACCGGCAUCUGUCGGAGCUGCACGCCGGCCCAAGCUGAACACAAAAGAAUCCUCCAGAAAGGGUCUUUCAAGCGAAAAGAAAAGAUCUCUGACCCCCGGCGCCGGGAACCGCGUUCAGAUUUCGUCGUAAACAGCUGUUUCGGUCGGCGAGGGCAGGGGCGCGCCGGGGAGUCCGGCCUGGAGGGUGGGCCUCACCCAUCCCUGUUCUCCUCCUCGCUCCACCCUGCAUCCUCGGGACCCGACCGGCUGGGAGAGGUCCAGAAACCGGAGCGCUUUCGCCCGGUGGAUCCCGGGCCGGCCCGCCGGCCUCUGCCCCGCUCACCUGCCGCGGCGUCGGCGACCACCCAGGGUCACUCCGGCUGCGAGUACCGCGGGGUCCGCGACGCGAAAGGGGGGGAGCGAUGCGCGCCGGCCUGGGCGCCUGGGCCUCGACCCCCGCCGGGGCGCCUGGCUCUCCCCGAGCUGCGGGCCGUCCUCUGUGCCCCGCGUCGGUGGGCAGCGCCGGCCGCGCUCAGUGCGGGGCGGGGGAGGCGGGAUGCGCCUGCCCAGCGUGGGCGGCGCCAUGCUCCUGUACGGACCGGCGGCCGGCUCUCCCGCUGUCACCAAGGGGCUCGGGAAUCUGGCGCUCGGAGCUGAGCUUCACUACGUUUUUGUGUGGAAAGGCUGAUGCGGGCCCGGGGAGGGGGGCGGCCGAGGGAGUGCGGUGGCCCCCGGCUCGAAGUCGCUCCGGCCGCACAGGGAGGCGCCAUGUUGAGGUUGGGCAAAAGCGGAGGCGAUGGCGCGCAGUUAAAAGUGUGGUAAAGCGCAGGGCGCCUUAGAAGCUACUUUCCCUGCCAGGACUUUGAAAACUGAAUAUUCCAUCAACCAGGCCAAUCUCACUCCCUUGCCUUCAUUUUGGACACCCACACACUCACAGGCUCCUUUUGGAUUCUGAGCCCUGGCUUGAGCGGUCCCUUCGAAGUGUUUGGGUGACCGAGGCUUCAGCUUGAUAUGAAAAGAGGCGAGAGCAGCGGUUCCCUAGCUCAGCCCUUGGAGAAGUUGCGUUCCAGAAAGGAAGAUCAUUUCCCCUAAAUAUCAUGUCCCUGGGUCCAUAAAGUUGGGGCGGGCAUGAUCAUUGUUGUACAAGAAAAAAAAAAUUAAGCCAACAAAAACAUCACCCCACUCCAAGCCUGGGGCGCUAUAAUAGCUAACUUCACUAACAGAAAUACUUUGUCAUCUGUCUCUAUCUUAAAUAAAAGAUAGGAAUCUUU